AUGGAGGGUGCUAAAUCCAACAAGAGAGCAGCAGAAGCUCGUCGAGAGGGGCAGAGCAGCGUCAAGAGGCGGAAUGUCAACGUGGCAGUGGACGGUGGUAAAUCAAACGGGCGACAAGCAGAAGUCCGGCGAGAGGGACAGAGCAGCGCAAAGACGCAGAGUGUCAAUGUGGCGGUGGACGGUGGUGAAUCCAAUGCGCAACAAGCACAAGUUCGGCGAGAGGGACAGAGCAGCACCAAGAUGCAGAAAGUCACCAUGGGGUUGGAUACCCUCGACUGCCCUGUCUGCUCCCAGCCCCUCAGGCCCCCGGUUUUCCAGUGUCCUAAAGGGAAUCUCAUCUGCUCGCCCUGCCGUGACAAGCUCCCGGAAAGCAAGCGCGGUGCUCCUCAGCGCAGCUAUGGUGUGGAGCGCAUCAUUGAGAACACUUUUGUCCCCUGCAAGCAUGGAUGUUUGACGAAGAUCACCUAUUACGACAUAGAAGAACACGAGAGUAGGUGCCCUCUCGGGCCAUGUUUCUGUCCGGUCUCUGGUUGCGGCUUCGUCGGGACAACCGUGCCACUGUUAGACCAUCUCACCACCCUGCACAAGCUGCCAAAGAUGGCAUUCAAAUACUUCGUGCCAUUUGAACUCCCUGCCCAACCAUGCUCUCUUGUUCUCCGCGGUGGAUAUGGUCGUGUUUUCCUUCUCGAAGUGGCAUCGCUGGAGUCCCUGGGCCAUUCAGUCUCACUAGUUUGUGCUGGGCAUAAGGAUUGGCUUGGCACGAUCAGGUGCUCGGUCGGUUUCUCAUGCUUUGAAGGUCACUGCCAGGUUUCAUUCUUGGAAAUCGAGAGGUCAUCAUUGUCUAAUGGGUUGACAACGCAAGACUUCUGUGUUGUGCCCAAGGUUUCAGGCGGACAAACUGAUGUCAUGCUCCGGAUCAUGAUCGAUUUGCUCUAUGGUGACGACGAUGUUCCUGAGGUGGAGGAGGACGAUGCAGACAAUAGCUAUGUGGAGGGGGAGGAUGAGGAUAUGACAACGAAGUGGAGGAUGGCCAUCACAAACCUGGGGGUGAGGGAGGAUGACAAUGACAGCGACGAGGAGGAUGGGGAUGAUAACGAUGAGGAGGAGGAUGAUGAUAUGGCGAUAACUGGUACGUCGAGGCGUGGCGUGACAAUCACAAGUGAGAAGGUGAAGGACGACGGCAAGGAUGAUCGGGAGGACAAUCAGAAUGGUAACUGA
RNAcentral lists this ribosomal RNA (1218 nucleotides) under Triticum aestivum (bread wheat). RNAcentral's name for it is "partial small subunit ribosomal RNA". The record is from RNAcentral. Lineage: Eukaryota; Viridiplantae; Streptophyta; Magnoliopsida; Poales; Poaceae.